GCUCAGGAUGAACGCUGGCGGCGUGCCUAACACAUGCAAGUCGAACGAAGCAAUUAAAGGAAGUUUUCGGAUGGAAUUUGAUUGACUGAGUGGCGGACGGGUGAGUAACGCGUGGAUAACCUGCCUCACACUGGGGGAUAACAGUUAGAAAUGACUGCUAAUACCGCAUAAGCGCACAGUACCGCAUGGUACGGUGUGAAAAACUCCGGUGGUGUGAGAUGGAUCCGCGUCUGAUUAGCCAGUUGGCGGGGUAACGGCCCACCAAAGCGACGAUCAGUAGCCGACCUGAGAGGGUGACCGGCCACAUUGGGACUGAGACACGGCCCAAACUCCUACGGGAGGCAGCAGUA
Molecule: ribosomal RNA, 350 nt
Filed under: uncultured bacterium
Lineage: Bacteria
Description: bacterial SSU rRNA
Rfam family: Bacterial small subunit ribosomal RNA
Source: RNAcentral